CCUACGGGAGGCAGCAGUAAGGAAUAUUGGUCAAUGGACGCAAGUCUGAACCAGCCAUGCCGCGUGGAGGAUGAAGGUCCUCUGGAUUGUAAACUUCUUUUAUCUGGGAAGAAAUGCUUUUUUUCUAAAGAGCUUGACGGUACCAGAUGAAUAAGCACCGGCUAACUCCGUGCCAGCAGCCGCGGUAAUACGGAGGGUGCAAGCGUUAUCCGGAUUCACUGGGUUUAAAGGGUGCGUAGGCGGAUUAGAAAGUCCGUUGUGAAAUCUCUGAGCUUAACUCGGAAAUUGCGGUGGAUACUAUUAGUCUUGAAUACUGUGGAGGUUAGCGGAAUAUGUCAUGUAGCGGUGAAAUGCAUAGAUAUGACAUAGAACACCAAUUGCGAAGGCAGCUGGCUACACAGAUAUUGACGCUGAGGCACGAAAGCGUGGGGAUCAAACAGGAUUAGAUACCCUGGUAGUCCACGCCCUAAACGAUGANUACUCGACAUUUGCGAUACACAGCAAGUGUCUGAGCGAAAGCAUUAAGUANUCCACCUGGGAAGUACGACCGCAAGGUUGAAACUCAAAGGAAUUGACGG
Molecule: ribosomal RNA, 578 nt
Filed under: uncultured Flexibacter sp.
Lineage: Bacteria; Pseudomonadati; Bacteroidota; Cytophagia; Cytophagales; Flexibacteraceae
Description: bacterial SSU rRNA
Rfam family: Bacterial small subunit ribosomal RNA
Source: RNAcentral